RNAcentral lists this ribosomal RNA (253 nucleotides) under uncultured bacterium. Its description in RNAcentral is "partial 16S ribosomal RNA". It matches the Rfam family "Bacterial small subunit ribosomal RNA", at positions 524 to 776 of the family's 1533-position model. The record is from RNAcentral.
UACAGAGGGGGCAAGCGUUGUUCGGAAUUACUGGGCGUAAAGGGCGCGUAGGCGGCCUGUUAAGUCGAACGUGAAAUCCCUGGGCUCAACCCAGGAACUGCGUCCGAUACUGGCAGGCUUGAAUUCGGGAGAGGGAUGCGGAAUUCCCAGUGUAGAGGUGAAAUUCGUAGAUAUUGGGAAGAACACCGAUGGCGAAGGCAGCCAUCUGGACCGACACUGACGCUGAGGCGCGAAAGCGUGGGGAGCAAACAGG